This 589-nucleotide ribosomal RNA is filed under the name uncultured bacterium. RNAcentral's name for it is "bacterial SSU rRNA". It matches the Rfam family "Bacterial small subunit ribosomal RNA", at positions 41 to 619 of the family's 1533-position model. The record is from RNAcentral.
GGCGUGCUAAUACAUGCAAGUGGAGCGACGAACCAGGCUUCGGCCUGGGGCAAAGCCGCGAACGGGUGAGUAACACGUGGGUAACCUGCCCCGAUGAUUGGGACAACCCGAGGAAACUCGGGCUAAUACCGAAUGUGCCCUCCGGCCAUAAGGCCGGUGGGGAAAGGAAGCUUCGGCCUCCGCAUCGGGAUGGGCCCGCGGCCCAUUAGCUUGUUGGUGAGGUAAAGGCUCACCAAGGCGACGAUGGGUAGCUGGUCUGAGAGGACGAUCAGCCACACUGGGACUGAGACACGGCCCAGACUCCUACGGGAGGCAGCAGUAGGGAAUCUUGCGCAAUGCGCGAAAGCGUGACGCAGCAACGCCGCGUGGGGGAAGAAGGCCUUCGGGUUGUAAACCCCUUUCAGUUGGGACGAAGCUCCGUCGGUGAAUAGCCGGCUGGAGUGACGGUACCUUCAGAAGAAGCCCCGGCUAACUACGUGCCAGCAGCCGCGGUAAUACGUAGGGGGCUACGUUGUCCGGAAUCAUUGGGCGUAAAGAGCGUGUAGCGGCUCGGUAAGUCCGCUCUGAAAGCCCGGGGCUCAACCCGGGA